UACGAAGGGGGCUAGCGUUGCUCGGAAUUACUGGGCGUAAAGCGCACGUAGGCGGAUUGUUAAGUCGGGGGUGAAAUCCUGGAGCUCAACUCCAGAACUGCCUUCGAUACUGGCGAUCUCGAGUUCGGGAGAGGUGAGUGGAACUGCGAGUGUAGAGGUGAAAUUCGUAGAUAUUCGCAAGAACACCAGUGGCGAAGGCGGCUCACUGGCCCGAUACUGACGCUGAGGUGCGAAAGCGUGAGGAGCAAACAGG
Molecule: ribosomal RNA, 253 nt
Filed under: uncultured bacterium
Lineage: Bacteria
Description: partial 16S ribosomal RNA
Rfam family: Bacterial small subunit ribosomal RNA
Source: RNAcentral